CAGCAGCCGCGGUAAUACAGAGGGUGCGAGCGUUAAUCGGAUUUACUGGGCGUAAAGCGUGCGUAGGCGGCUUUUUAAGUCGGAUGUGAAAUCCCUGAGCUUAACUUAGGAAUUGCAUUCGAUACUGGGAAGCUAGAGUAUGGGAGAGGAUGGUAGAAUUCCAGGUGUAGCGGUGAAAUGCGUAGAGAUCUGGAGGAAUACCGAUGGCGAAGGCAGCCAUCUGGCCUAAUACUGACGCUGAGGUACGAAAGCAUGGGGAGCAAACAGGAUUAGAUAUCCCAGUAGUCCCUGUCUCUUAUAC
This 301-nucleotide ribosomal RNA is filed under the name uncultured bacterium. RNAcentral describes it as "partial 16S ribosomal RNA". It matches the Rfam family "Bacterial small subunit ribosomal RNA", at positions 509 to 807 of the family's 1533-position model. The record is from RNAcentral.